GAAAAGGUCAGCUAAAUAUUAAGCUUAUGGGCUCAUACCCCAUCCAUGAAAUUUUUUUCUCUUUUCA
RNAcentral lists this transfer RNA (67 nucleotides) under Lysmata boggessi. RNAcentral describes it as "tRNA-Met". Lineage: Eukaryota; Metazoa; Arthropoda; Malacostraca; Decapoda; Hippolytidae. The record is from RNAcentral.